Molecule: ribosomal RNA, 609 nt
Filed under: Pinctada chemnitzi
Lineage: Eukaryota; Metazoa; Mollusca; Bivalvia; Pterioida; Pteriidae
Description: eukaryotic LSU rRNA
Rfam family: Eukaryotic large subunit ribosomal RNA (bases 341-609)
Source: RNAcentral
GCAGGACACAUUGAACAUCGACAUCUUGAACGCAUAUUGCGGCCUAGGGUCACUCCCUUGGCCACGCCUGUCUCAGGGUCGGUGAAACAAACUUCGCAAGCCAAUUGCUCUGUAUUGGGGCUUGCGCAUUGGGCUGUCGAAGUCCCCCCUCAACGGGGACUCCGUCGCCUCAAGUUCAGACCCGAUUGCUUCGGCACGUCGCGUCUUGCGGUCUCGACCACAUAUGACGUAGCUCGCUGUAUCUGAUAUAUAAAAAAAAAAGCACUACGCCGGUCGUCCGAUUGCGAGUCGUGUCGCCGAAAGCGAUCGAAAGAGAAAGACGUUAGAAAACUCUCACCUCCGACCUGAGAUCAGACGAGACAACCCCCUGAAUUUAAGCAUAUCACUAAGGGGAGGAAAAGAAACUAACUAGGAUUCCCUCAGUAACGGCGAGUGAAGCGGGAAAAGCCCAGCACCGAAUCCCUCGGCCUUGCGCCGCUGGGACCUGUGGUGUUUAGGACGCCUCACUGCGGUGGGGUACGGGUGCCCAAGUCCUUCUGAUCGGGGCCUCUCCCAUAGCGGGUGUCAGGCCUUUACGGGCACUCGUCCUUCUGCUAAGAACGUCCUUGG